CGGGUCGCAAGAUUAAAACUCAAAUGAAUUGACGGGGGCCCGCACAAGCGGUGGAGCAUGUGGUUUAAUUCGAUGCAACGCGAAGAACCUUACCUACUCUUGACAUCUACAGAAGCCAGCGGAGACGCAGGUGUGCCUUCGGGAACUGUAAGACAGGUGCUGCAUGGCUGUCGUCAGCUCGUGUUGUGAAAUGUUGGGUUAAGUCCCGCAACGAGCGCAACCCUUAUCCUUGUUUGCCAGCACUUCGGGUGGGAACUCCAGGGAGACUGCCGGUGAUAAACCGGAGGAAGGUGGGGACGACGUCAAGUCAUCAUGGCCCUUACGAGUAGGGCUACACACGUGCUACAAUGGCGCAUACAGAGGGCGGCCAACUUGCGAAAGUGAGCGAAUCCCAAAAAGUGCGUCGUAGUCCGGAUUGGAGUCUGCAACUCGACUCCAUGAAGUCGGAAUCGCUAGUAAUCGUGGAUCAGAAUGCCACGGUGAAUACGUUCCCGGGCCUUGUACACACCGCCCGUCACACCAUGGGAGUGGGCUGCAAAAGAAGUGGGUAGUUUAACCUUCGGGAGGACGCUCACCACUUUGUGGUUCAUGACUGGGGUGAAGUCGUAACAAGGUAACCG
RNAcentral lists this ribosomal RNA (620 nucleotides) under uncultured bacterium. RNAcentral describes it as "bacterial SSU rRNA". It matches the Rfam family "Bacterial small subunit ribosomal RNA", at positions 882 to 1502 of the family's 1533-position model. The record is from RNAcentral.